UGAAAACACUGGGGAACCCACCUGGCAGUAUGGUCAUCAACUAAGACAUUCAAGUUUAUAUUUAUGAGUUUACAGAUAGUAAAUUAAGCAUCAAAUACAGAGUCCUAUAGGAUAAACUCCUCUUAAAAAAUUACAAAUUACACAAAUGGAAAAAUUGUUCUUAAUUUUAAGUCAUAAAGUAAAUUGGAAAAAAAAAGAAAGUUCUCAACUGAUUCAAAAAAACAAAAACAAAACAAACAAACAAACAAAAAAAAAACCUAGAGAUUGGCAUUUCACUUUAGUUGUGAUGAAGGCCAGCCUGGCUAUAUUUACCAUCAGGAGCCAGUGUGAAAGGCAACAGUCUAAGACAAUAGCACUAACAAAAACAAAAUGGCAGUCUCCAGGCCUCAUUCAGUGCAUCCAGGAUGUCAGCCUUUCACCAGGUCCCAGGUCCGGAAAGCCAAAUUAUUAGUAAUGGAUUGUAAAACGGCCUUUCAUGUUUGAUUUCUGCUAGGGUGGGGAUGGGACAAAACCAAAAUGAAAAUAAACAGAACGCAAGGAACCCACAAGUGGGUUUUGUGUGUUCAGGGAAA
RNAcentral lists this long non-coding RNA (572 nucleotides) under Rattus norvegicus (Norway rat). Its description in RNAcentral is "long non-coding RNA NONRATT020504". The record is from RNAcentral. Lineage: Eukaryota; Metazoa; Chordata; Mammalia; Rodentia; Muridae.